GAAAAUGUCUCUCAAUCUUCUUAUCAAAUGAAAAGCAAGAUCCAAAACCAUAAAAUGAGUAAGAGCCUACUGUUCGUUUAAAGUGUACUUAUUAAAAUGUGCAUAGCAGAAUGUUAACAGACGCUGCCUUUAGGGAGAGAUAAAAAGCAUAAUGACAUUAGAUGGUGGCCUUAUGCUGUUGUCUCUGGAAGAUCUCCGGCUGUGAGGAAGUCCCUCUAACUUACAACCUGCUCAAGUGCCUCCUAGAUAAAGCGCACUGUGUACUCCUGACAUCUUGUGGUUACAUCUUUUCCUUGAUCAGUCCAGAAAUUCUCAAACUCACUUUAAUCACUAUCCUCUUAAUACUCAAAAAUCUACACUUACUGUGGCUGACAGUUUCAAGCAGAUGUGUUCAUCGCAGUAGUGCAAGAAAAGAAAAGUAGAAGAACCCUGCAGAGAUUUGAUGGAACCCAGCUUCUAUUCAUUAAAACCAAUGGCAAAAUAUAAAGCAAAUAGGAGGUGACGAAGGUUACAAAGAUACGUAUUGUUUAUGUUUUCCCUGGGGUGUGCUGAUUGUCAGGCAUCAGUUCCCUGUGCCAUUCAUUCCCCAACACAGCAUGCAUCAGAAAUUUUAUCAAUAAAUGCUUUCUCUCUCAAUGUUCAACCUAUGCUGAUAGACCAUUAAAUACAGUUUUUGGGUUCACAGCUUGUCAUCAUCAUUUGUCUAUACCUGUGGCAAAGAAUAUCUAAUAAGAUACUCUCAGCAUUUUGCACACUUAAACUAAGAUGCUGAAUGCUGUAUUUUACGGAAUAAUCAGCCACAUUAAAUUUGGAGACUCAACAAGCAUGCUGUGAACAUUCAACAUUAGGUUUAAAUUUUAUUUUUAAAAGUUAAUAAUAAAAGGAUAUAUGUUAAGUAUUAUGAAACCCUGCAUAUAUUGUAAUAAAAUGGUGGAUGUGAAUGGACAAUAUAUGCAAUAAAAUUUAUAAUUUGAUUCUGA
RNAcentral lists this long non-coding RNA (980 nucleotides) under Homo sapiens (human). RNAcentral describes it as "HSALNT0325865". The record is from RNAcentral. Lineage: Eukaryota; Metazoa; Chordata; Mammalia; Primates; Hominidae.